CAUGCAAGUCGAGCGGUAGCACAGAGAGCUUGCUCUCGGGUGACGAGCGGCGGACGGGUGAGUAAUGUCUGGGAAACUGCCUGAUGGAGGGGGAUAACUACUGGAAACGGUAGCUAAUACCGCAUAAUGUCGCAAGACCAAAGUGGGGGACCUUCGGGCCUCAUGCCAUCAGAUGUGCCCAGAUGGGAUUAGCUAGUAGGUGGGGUAACGGCUCACCUAGGCGACGAUCCCUAGCUGGUCUGAGAGGAUGACCAGCCACACUGGAACUGAGACACGGUCCAGACUCCUACGGGAGGCAGCAGUGGGGAAUAUUGCACAAUGGGCGCAAGCCUGAUGCAGCCAUGCCGCGUGUGUGAAGAAGGCCUUCGGGUUGUAAAGCACUUUCAGCGGGGAGGAAGGCG
Molecule: ribosomal RNA, 401 nt
Filed under: Klebsiella pneumoniae
Lineage: Bacteria; Pseudomonadati; Pseudomonadota; Gammaproteobacteria; Enterobacterales; Enterobacteriaceae
Description: bacterial SSU rRNA
Rfam family: Bacterial small subunit ribosomal RNA
Source: RNAcentral